Molecule: ribosomal RNA, 425 nt
Filed under: uncultured Hymenobacter sp.
Lineage: Bacteria; Pseudomonadati; Bacteroidota; Cytophagia; Cytophagales; Hymenobacteraceae
Description: bacterial SSU rRNA
Rfam family: Bacterial small subunit ribosomal RNA
Source: RNAcentral
GUAGGGAAUAUUGGGCAAUGGCCGAGAGGCUGACCCAGCCAUGCCGCGUGCCGGAUGAAGGCUUUCUGAGUCGUAAACGGCUUUUGCCAGGGAAGAAUAAGGGGCGUGCGCGCCCCGACGACGGUACCUGGUGAAUAAGCACCGGCUAACUCCGUGCCAGCAGCCGCGGUAAUACGGAGGGUGCAAGCGUUGUCCGGAUUUAUUGGGUUUAAAGGGUGCGUAGGCGGCGCGUUAAGUCCGGGGUGAAAGCCCGUUGCUCAACAACGGAACUGCCCCGGAAACUGGCGCGCUUGAGUCCAGACGAGGGCGGCGGAAUGGAAGCUGUAGCGGUGAAAUGCAUAGAUAGCUUCCAGAACCCCGAUUGCGAAGGCAGCUGCCUAGACUGGUACUGACGCUGAGGCACGAAAGCGUGGGGAGCGAACAGG